This 31-nucleotide non-coding RNA is filed under the name Mus musculus (house mouse). The record is from RNAcentral. Lineage: Eukaryota; Metazoa; Chordata; Mammalia; Rodentia; Muridae.
UAGGGAAUGCUGCCAUUUGAAGAUAAAUGCC